GGACGAACGCUGGCGGCGUGCCUAACACAUGCAAGUCGAACGAAGCAUAGCAAUAUGCUUAGUGGCGGACGGGUGAGUAACGCGUGAACAAUCUGCCCUGUACAAAGGAAUAGCCUCGGGAAACCGGGAUUAAAACCGUAUGACACUUUAGUAUCGCAUGAUAAGAAAGUCAAAUCGAUUAGAGGUAUGGGAUGAGUUCGCGUCUGAUUAGCUGGUUGGCGGGGUAACGGCCCACCAAGGCGACGAUCAGUAGCCGGCCUGAGAGGGUGAACGGCCACACUGGAACUGAGACACGGUCCAGACUCCUACGGGAGGCAGCAGUGGGGAAUAUUGCACAAUGGAGGGAACUCUGAUGCAGCGACGCCGCGUGAGUGAAGAAGGUCUUCGGAUCGUAAAACUCUGUCCUUGGUGAAGAAAAGGACGGUAGCCAAGGAGGAAGCCCCGGCUAACUACGUGCCAGCAGCCGCGGUAAUACGUAGGGGGCGAGCGUUGUCCGGAUUUACUGGGCGUAAAGGGUGAGUAGGCGGUUAUAUAUGUCAGGUGUAAAAGAUCAUGGCUCAACCAUGGUUGGCACUUGAAACUGUAUGACUUGAGUGCAGGAGAGGUAAGCGGAAUUCCUAGUGUAGCGGUGAAAUGCGUAGAUAUUAGGAGGAACACCAGUGGCGAAGGCGGCUUACUGGACUGUAACUGACGCUGAGACACGAAAGCGUGGGUAGCAAACAGGAUUAGAUACCCUGGUAGUCCACGCUGUAAACGAUGAGUGCUAGGUGUUGGGUAGCGAUAUUCAGUGCCGGAGUAAACACAAUAAGCACUCCGCCUGGGGAGUACGUACGCAAGUAUGAAACUCAAAGGAAUUGACGGGGACCCGCACAAGCAGCGGAGCAUGUGGUUUAAUUCGAAGCAACGCGAAGAACCUUACCAAGGCUUGACAUCCCCUUGACCAGUGCAGAGAUGUACUCUCUUCUUCGGAAGCAAGGGAGACAGGUGGUGCAUGGUUGUCGUCAGCUCGUGUCGUGAGAUGUUGGGUUAAGUCCCGCAACGAGCGCAACCCUUAUCCUUAGUUGCCAGCAUAUAAGGUGGGCACUCUAAGGAGACUGCCGGUGAUAAACCGGAGGAAGGUGGGGAUGACGUCAAGUCCUCAUGGCCCUUACGGGCUGGGCUACACACGUGCUACAAUGGUGGUGACAGUGGGCAGCGAGACCGCGAGGUCGAGCUAAUCUCCAAAAGCCAUCUCAGUUCGGAUUGCACUCUGCAACUCGAGUGCAUGAAGUUGGAAUCGCUAGUAAUCGCGGAUCAGCAUGCCGCGGUGAAUACGUUCCCGGGCCU
This 1326-nucleotide ribosomal RNA is filed under the name uncultured bacterium. Its description in RNAcentral is "bacterial SSU rRNA". It matches the Rfam family "Bacterial small subunit ribosomal RNA", at positions 27 to 1381 of the family's 1533-position model. The record is from RNAcentral.